UACGAGGGGGGCAAGCGUUGUUCGGAUUUACUGGGCGUAAAGGGCGCGUAGGCGGCCACGACAAGUCACUUGUGAAAUCUCCGGGCUUAACUCGGAACGGUCAAGUGAUACUGUCGGGCUAGAGUACAGAAGGGGCAACUGGAAUUCUCGGUGUAGCGGUGAAAUGCGUAGAUAUCAGGAGGAACACCGAUGGCGAAGGCAGGUCUCUGGGCCACUACUGACGCUGAGAAGCGAAAGCAUGGGGAGCGAACAGG
Molecule: ribosomal RNA, 254 nt
Filed under: uncultured bacterium
Lineage: Bacteria
Description: partial 16S ribosomal RNA
Rfam family: Bacterial small subunit ribosomal RNA
Source: RNAcentral